RNAcentral lists this ribosomal RNA (502 nucleotides) under uncultured bacterium. RNAcentral describes it as "partial 16S ribosomal RNA". It matches the Rfam family "Bacterial small subunit ribosomal RNA", at positions 29 to 507 of the family's 1533-position model. The record is from RNAcentral.
AGCGAACGCUGGCGGCGUGCCUAACACAUGCAAGUCGAACGUGAAAGGGAGCAAUCCCAAGUAAAGUGGCGUACGGGUGAGUAACACGUAGGUAAUCUACCCCAGAAUCUGGAAUAACCGGCCGAAAGGCUGGCUAAUACUGGAUAGAGCGACGGAAUCCGUAAUUGGGUUUUUCGGGAAAGGGAGCCUGUAAAAAGGCCUUCGUUCUGGGAUGAGCCUGCGUCCCAUCAGCUAGUUGGUGAGGUAAAAGCUUACCAAGGCAAUGACGGGUAGCUGGUCUGAGAGGACGAUCAGCCACACUGGAACUGAAACAAGGUCCAGACUCCUACGGGAGGCAGCAGUGGGGAAUCUUGCGCAAUGGACGAAAGUCUGACGCAGCAACGCCGCGUGAGUGAAGAAGGCCUUCGGGUUGUAAAGCUCUGUCGAGUGGGACGAAAAUGCUUGGAGUUCGCAGCUCCAGGAACUGACGGUACCACUAAAGGAAGCACCGGCUAACUCCGUG